Molecule: ribosomal RNA, 867 nt
Filed under: uncultured archaeon
Lineage: Archaea
Description: bacterial SSU rRNA
Rfam family: Archaeal small subunit ribosomal RNA
Source: RNAcentral
CUCCGGUGAUCCUGCCGGACCCGACUGCUAUCAGAGUGGGACUAAGCCAUGCGAGUCGACGUAGCAAUGCGUGGCGAACGGCUCAGUAACACGUAGUCAACAUGCCCAGGGGACGUGGAUAACCUCGGGAAACUGAGAAUAAACCACGAUAGGUCACGAUUUCUGGAAUGGAUCAUGGCCUAAAUCUACAUGGCCCCUGGAUUGGACUGCGGCCGAUCAGGCUGUUGGUGAGGUAAUGGCCCACCAAACCUAUAACCGGUACGGGCUCUGAGAGGAGAAGCCCGGAGAUGGGCACUGAGACAAGGGCCCAGGCCCUAUGGGGCGCAGCAGGCGCGAAACCUCUGCAAUAGGCGAAAGCCUGACAGGGUUACUCUGAGUGAUUUCCGCUAAGGGGAUCUUUUGGCACCUCUAAAAAUGGUGCAGAAUAAGGGGUGGGCAAGUCUGGUGUCAGCCGCCGCGGUAAUACCAGCACCCCGAGUGGUCGGGACGAUUAUUGGGCCUAAAGCAUCCGUAGCCGGUUCUGCAAGUCUUCCGUUAAAUCCAGCCGCUCAACGGAUGGGCCGCGGAGGAUACUACAGGACUAGGAGGCGGGAGAGGCAAGCGGUACUCAGUGGGUAGGGGUAAAAUCCUCUGAUCCAUUGAGGACCACCAGUGGCGAAGGCGGUCUGCCAGAACACGUUCGACGGUGAGGGAUGAAAGCUGGGGGAGCAAACCGGAUUAGAUACCCGGGUAGUCCCAGCUGUAAACGAUGCAAACUCGGUGAUGCAUUGGCUUAUGGCCAAUGCAGUGCCGCAGGGAAGCCGUUAAGUUUGCCGCCUGGGAAGUACGGACGCAAGUCUGAAACUUAAAGGAAUUGGCGGGGGAGCA